AUGAUAACAUGGUGUUGUGAGCUACAGAAGGGCCAAAGAGAAGUACAUUAUUACAUUUCUUUUUCUUCCAGAUUUAUGUUCAGAUCAUCUCAGUCCUGUGUGCAUGUGGGAUGUUUAGACAGUGAAGAAAUGAAGAGGAGGGAAUUGUGUUUCUGGUGAAGACAGAGCUGUGUACAAGGAAAUACUAGAUCUGAAUUGUUCUUAUUACAAUUGUUAAAAGGUAUCAGAGCGGUAAAUAAUGCUGUUGUAUAGAAGGAAAGGCAAAUAAAGGACAGUAAACAUUUGCA
RNAcentral lists this long non-coding RNA (287 nucleotides) under Cyanistes caeruleus (blue tit). RNAcentral describes it as "lncRNA (ENSCCEG00000015701.1)". The record is from RNAcentral. Lineage: Eukaryota; Metazoa; Chordata; Aves; Passeriformes; Paridae.